This 487-nucleotide long non-coding RNA is filed under the name Parus major (Great Tit). RNAcentral describes it as "lncRNA (ENSPMJG00000016181.1)". The record is from RNAcentral. Lineage: Eukaryota; Metazoa; Chordata; Aves; Passeriformes; Paridae.
CUGCUGUUUCCUUAUUUUUUGCAGGAAAGCAAAGGGUUGUUGACUUCCUCUCCCCUCCCUUCCUUCCUUCUUUCUGAAGGUACUGUACUCAUCUGAAAAAAAAAAAAAACACAAACCCAGAACGAAAUGAUUGUUCCUGUUCUCCUUCUUAAGUCAUUUGAAACAUUGUCCCUGCUAGUUUUCUAAGUUUACUGCAAUCUCUGCACAGGGGGGAGGGAGACAGUGGGAGACAGAAACAGAUAUUACAAACAUGAGAGCAGGUAGUGUUUAGGGCAAGACUCCUUCCAGCUUCAACAACUGGUUUUUCCAUAAGAAGAAAUGGUGUACCACAGAUUCAGCCCAGUUUCUGGGAUCGGUCCUGUGAUGCCUGUAGCUGUGGCCAGUGGAAUAAGCCCACAGGCUCAGUGAAAGCAGCCAAAGGUUAGUAGUGCAAGGAAAAUGUUUAUUUCUAGUAAUUUCAAGCAGUUCUACAGGUCUGUGCUCCAGA